CUACGGGGGGCUGCAGUGGGGAAUAUUGCACAAUGGGCGCAAGCCUGAUGCAGCCAUGCCGCGUGUAUGAAGAAGGCCUUCGGGUUGUAAAGUACUUUCAGCGGGGAGGAAGGGAGUAAAGUUAAUACCUUUGCUCAUUGACGUUACCCGCAGAAGAAGCACCGGCUAACUCCGUGCCAGCAGCCGCGGUAAUACGGAGGGUGCAAGCGUUAAUCGGAAUUACUGGGCGUAAAGCGCACGCAGGCGGUUUGUUAAGUCAGAUGUGAAAUCCCCGGGCUCAACCGGGGAACUGCAUCUGAGGCUGGCAAGCGAGAGUCUCGUAGAGGGGGGUAGAAUUCCAGGUGUGGCGGUGAAAUGCGUAGAGAUCUGGAGGAAUACCGGUGGCGAAGGCGGCCCCCUGGACGAAGACUGACGCUCAGGUGCGAAAGCGUGGGGAGCAAACAGGAUUAGAUACCCCAGUAGUC
Molecule: ribosomal RNA, 464 nt
Filed under: uncultured bacterium
Lineage: Bacteria
Description: partial 16S ribosomal RNA
Rfam family: Bacterial small subunit ribosomal RNA
Source: RNAcentral